CCGCGCGGGCCCAGUCGGGUCGCGGCGCGGUCGGGGAGGAGGUCGGAGUCCGCGCGGCCUGUACAGCAGCCUAGACCGCCUCUCGCGUGGGGACGGUCGCCCAGGCACCAGGCGAAGGACGGGCGGGGCACUGUCCCGCCUCAGCCUCCCCGCGCCUCGCCGCGCGGGUCACGUGACGCAGGCGGCCCCGCGCGCCCCCAGUCGACGCCGCUCAGCUGGCGCCUCGCUUCUGCUCUGACAGCCGGCGUGCGGAGGUCGGCCCGGGGCUCCCGCCUGCCCGGAGCCUGCCCAGGCCGCUGCGCGCUCUUCUGACCCCGAGUGUGCGUGUGCGGGCGCCGGCCCUCGAGUCCACUGGAGAACCCCACACGCUCACAUCCUCAGUUUUAAUGUUUUGGGGCACUGGGGAUUCCACGGGGGUCUUUCCACUGAGCUGCGCCCUAGCCCUUUCUUAUUUAGAGACAGCGUCUCCCUAAGUGGCUAAGUUGCCCAUGCCAGGCUCCACCUGCGGUCUUCCUGCCUCGGCCUCCCGGAGUGCGGGAUGACAGGCGUGUGCACCCCACCCGGCCUUCUCAUUUGCAUCAGGUCCUUGCUAGGUGGCAGGAGGCCUACUGCGUGCGAUGCUGUGUGACUCACUGCCUACCUCAGGAGGUGAGAAGGGGCCUGCACGCAUUCAGCGUAGACCGGAGUUUUUCUCUUACUUUCCACAGGGUGGGUGCGAUCGGAGGGUGCAGAGCCGCGCUGACACGCUCGUGUGUGCGCGUGCUGUGCAUCCAUGCACACGCAGCAGAGAUCACCUCGGACGUCGAGGUCAGCUGGAUACCACGGACACAGGCAGGGGAGAGCUGAGCAAGCUGAAAGGUUGGGGGCAGGCGACCCAGCGUCCACGAGGCCAACGCAGAAGAGCCCAGCAGCGGGACCUGGGACAGGACCCGAGGUUCAGGGCUCUUUGGCCAGCCCGACUCGGCCUCCUGUCAGGAGGGUGUGGAGAGAGCUAUGCCCCAGGGCCCUUGCACAAACGUCCCCUCUUCUGAGGACCCGCCCCUUCCUGGAGCUCCACCUCAGAUGUGAGCACCGGUCCGGAUGGCAUCGAGGGCUUUCCUGAAGCUUGGCUGAGGCCUUUGAGACUGCAGAUGCCGCCGUGAAUGCCUGUGAGCAGAUAUUUGUGUGCCGCUGUCUCCGGCCCCGUGGGGCAUGGGUGGCUCACCCGGCUCUGAGGAAUCACCAGACUCUUUCCAGCAGUGGCUGCGCCUCCAUGGUCUCCACGGGCAGUGCGUGUGGCGCCGAUUUCUCCACAUCUCCAUUUACUUUUUAAAGUUCCCGGCGGCACGGCACCUCGUGGUCAGGAGAGGGGCUGAGGCCCACGGAGAGAAACUCAAGGGCGCAAGUGCACAGCCUGCGGCCAGCAGGGGGCGGGGCCCGCAGCUGGCCCUGCCCUGGGGACCGGUGGGGGUUGCUGUUCUCCGACAGAGCCAAGGCCGUGGUCAGCUCUGGAGAGCGCCAUUAUCCUGGACGUGGGGGACCGGGGUGUGACAGCGAGACAGGACUGGGGCCAGGAGAGGGGGAGCUUAGGCCUGGAUCCGAAGCCGCAGGCAGGAGAGGGCCCUGCGGGGAGGGAGAAGAGGCAGGGUUAGCCCUUCCAACCAGGCAAAGCCGGAAGAGGCCUUCAGGGUGCUUGAGUGUGAGUUAAGUACAGUGUCACUGUCCAGGGGGGUGGGAAAAGUUCCACGAUCAAACAGUUGUGGGAACGCUCUAUAUCAGUGGUGGCAAACCUUUCAUUUCUCCUUUUUAAAUUUUCUGGUUUUCUGAGGCAGGGUCUCUCUAUGCAGUUCAGGUUGGUCUUGAACUCACUAGGUAGCUCAGGCUGGCCUAAACGUGGGGAUCCUCCUGCCUCAGCCUCCCGAGGGCUGGAAUUGCAGGCAUGUGCUACCUUUCAGAGCUUUCAGUGAUAACAAACAGCUGGCUGCAGUAGGUAGGUUUGCCACCCUCCGCCCAGUGCACCUUUCCUCUUGGAGAUCUGCAGUACCCUUUACUCCCCGAGGGCUCUUGGGUGGUGAGCUUUCUUGAACGGGGCGUUUCUCGAAACCAUGUGACCCCGUGUUUUCUUCUCUGCUGUGCCCUCUCUACGCCUGUUAAGUAUAACAGAAUCGACAUCUAGAGCCAGGCGUGGGGGCGCACGCCUGGGAUCCCAGCGCUCAGGAGGCCGAGGCAGGAGGAUGGCUGUUUGAGGCCAGCCUGGGCUACGAGUGAGACCCUGUCUCAAAAACAACAAAACAAAAACCUCCGGUCUGCUUUCCCGGAAGCCCACGGCUAGGGUGACCAGCUGAGGGCAGGGAGGGCGGAAGAGCCGGGAGGAGCGAGUUCAGGCCUUGCCUCGGCAAAGCCCGCCCACCACCGUCUUCCUGCCAUCACACCCGUGUCCCGGGGGCGCCAAGAGUCAAGGCCGGCCCCCACCUGCAAAAGCGAUUGGCUGAGGGAGGGCCACGUGACCAGAGCCGGCCAAUCCCAGUGAAGUUCAGGCCUGUAUAGGGCUGCUGCGGGUGUCAGGAAGCCCUGAGUCUCACAGAAUGUGGAUGUGGAGAGGAAACUGAGCUGAAACAGGGGCUGGCUGAGAAAAAAUUCACAAAGUUAUGAUCACAGAACUGUGAUCAAUGAAUAUUUGAACCCCUGGAGAAAUGUUCAGUGUACACUGUGCUCAGCUAUGUAUUCCAGGCUGGCUGUAAACUUGCAGCAAUCCUCCUGCCUCAGCCUCCUGGAUGCUGAGAUUACAGGUGUGCACUACCACGCCUGGCUAUUGUGCAUGAAUUCACCAGUGGAUUAAAUGCUUCAUGAGAUGAUCUCAAUCUAAGAUAUGCAUGCGUUCAUGAGAUAUCAGUAUACAUGGAGAGCAUGUGUGGACACAGCACCUACGCCCAAGUUGCACUUUUACUAUCAUGAAGAGAAAGAGCCUAUGUGCAUUGUUCAGGGUGCUUUCCCACAGCCCCGAGGCUGGAAACCUUGUCGUUCCCAUCUGACUGAGGAGGGGGAGCUCAGCUUUCUGCAAGGCGCCAAGGGUGAAUGUUUCAGCUCCGAGUGCCCGGCGGCCCUGCCACACGAGCCCACUACCCCCGGCGGCAGCAGGCAGCUCUCCAGGCCGUGCUCCAGUGACACUUUGUUCGUGGGCCCAGGCAACUUUCACGUGGCAGCAGGAGUCUUCUUUCGUCCUUCCCGGCAACCAGGUCGAGCGCACAGCCCACCCUGCCCUCGGGUCCUAGCCUGGCAGGUGCCUCAGGCAUGGACAGUGCGCAGCGUCUGUCUCAGCAUGUCUCUGCUCAGAGUCUGGAGAUGCCCCCCAGGAAGGAGCUGUCCCUGGUCAUGGCUGGCGUUGUGGC
Molecule: long non-coding RNA, 3368 nt
Filed under: Heterocephalus glaber (naked mole-rat)
Lineage: Eukaryota; Metazoa; Chordata; Mammalia; Rodentia; Bathyergidae
Description: lncRNA (ENSHGLG00100038129.1)
Source: RNAcentral